Molecule: microRNA precursor, 83 nt
Filed under: Chlorocebus sabaeus (green monkey)
Lineage: Eukaryota; Metazoa; Chordata; Mammalia; Primates; Cercopithecidae
Description: miRNA (ENSCSAG00000022879.1)
Source: RNAcentral
UAAUGGGUUGGUGCAAAAGUAAUGGCGGUUUUUGCCAUUACUUUCAAUAGCAAAGAUUGCCAUGACUUUUGCACCAACUCAAU